This 298-nucleotide unclassified non-coding RNA is filed under the name Basidiomycota sp. RNAcentral's name for it is "partial contains small subunit ribosomal RNA, internal transcribed spacer 1, and 5.8S ribosomal RNA". The stretch from base 1 to 47 matches the Rfam family "Eukaryotic small subunit ribosomal RNA", at positions 1785 to 1831 of the family's 1831-position model. The record is from RNAcentral. Lineage: Eukaryota; Fungi; Basidiomycota.
AAAGUCGUAACAAGGUUUCCGUAGGUGAACCUGCGGAAGGAUCAUUACUGAAGUGAUUUGGGGAUGUUGCUGGCCUCUUCUUUUUGAGGGGCAAAUGUGCACUCCCUGAACAAUUCACAAUUUCCAUCACACCCUUGUGCACAUCUUGUAGGCAUCCCCUCGUCUUCAAGGCUUGGGGUUGUCCUAUGUAUUCUUUCAUCUCACACUUUUUUGAAUGGUGCUCUUGAAUGCAUCUUAUGGAUUAUUUGUAAAAAAGUAAUCACAGAAACAACUUUCAACAAUGGAUCUCUUGGCUCUC